CUCUCUUGUUGUUGCUGAAAGUAGUUUCUGCCUAAACCACUUUGACCGCUAUGAAGAAACCUAUCCAACGGUCCACCAUUACAAUCAAAACUUCCACCGUUUUGUGCAAUCUCUGGACUUUUCUCUUUAGGUGUGUUCAUCUCUUGACCGCUCGCUAUUAACCUAUCCAACGACCCAGCAUUACAUUCACGAUCUCGACCGUUGUGAGCAAUCUCUGAACUUUUCUCUUCAGGUCUCUUUGCUGCUACCGCAGCAACUCCUCUCUUAUUAGGAGGCGGACGGGAAGCUACAUUUUCAUUGGGUGCUCCACACAAUUCAGUCUUCACCCAAUCCAUUAAACGCUCUCUAGAAGCCGUAAGCUCAUCAAGCAACGUCUCCAUAAACGUUCCAACACCGUCCGUCCCCAUAACUGUUUCAUCUUUCUUCUUAUUGUCCUCCACACAAACAGUUUUCGGUUUCCUUUUCCUUACUUGCUUAACUUUCUCAGGCUUAGUCUCAUCUUUCUUGCUCCUCCUCUUCCGGGUUUUCACAGGAUGCUGGGUCGAGUUUGAAUCUGGAUCAUCGCUUGAAGAAUCUUCAAAGUCGUUCUCUUUCCUUCUGAAAUCCCAUUUCUCACUGAAUCUUGGCUCAUCUCCCAUUCUUAAAGAUUCAGUCUAAUUUCACUCUGUUCUUACAGAUUGCACCUUUCUUUCA
This 693-nucleotide long non-coding RNA is filed under the name Arabidopsis thaliana (thale cress). RNAcentral describes it as "natural antisense transcript overlaps with AT5G41320 (AT5G06155)". The record is from RNAcentral. Lineage: Eukaryota; Viridiplantae; Streptophyta; Magnoliopsida; Brassicales; Brassicaceae.